RNAcentral lists this ribosomal RNA (423 nucleotides) under uncultured Ruminococcus sp. RNAcentral's name for it is "bacterial SSU rRNA". It matches the Rfam family "Bacterial small subunit ribosomal RNA", at positions 355 to 794 of the family's 1533-position model. The record is from RNAcentral. Lineage: Bacteria; Bacillati; Bacillota; Clostridia; Eubacteriales; Oscillospiraceae.
UGGGGGAUAUUGCGCAAUGGGGGCAACCCUGACGCAGCAACGCCGCGUGAAGGAUGAAGGUUUUCGGAUUGUAAACUUCUUUUAUUAAGGACGAAUAAUGACGGUACUUAAUGAAUAAGCUCCGGCUAACUACGUGCCAGCAGCCGCGGUAAUACGUAGGGAGCAAGCGUUGUCCGGAUUUACUGGGUGUAAAGGGUGCGUAGGCGGCUAAGCAAGUCAGAUGUGAAAUCUAUGGGCUCAACCCAUAAACUGCAUUUGAAACUGCAUAGCUUGAGUGAAGUAGAGGCAGGCGGAAUUCCCCGUGUAGCGGUGAAAUGCGUAGAGAUGGGGAGGAACACCAGUGGCGAAGGCGGCCUGCUGGGCUUUAACUGACGCUGAGGCACGAAAGCGUGGGUAGCAAACAGGAUUAGAUACCCUGGUAGU